GGCAGGGCGGACCUCCAUAGGUUACUGGACAAGCCCAAGAGCCCCGGAUGCAGCUGUACCGCCCUCAGGCGGCGGCGACUGGACCUCGCCUGGCGGCCGGCGCGGCGCUCCCUACGAAGGCGCCUGCGCAAAGCCAAGAAGUGGCGGCAGCUGAGGGGCAAGCGCCCCGUGGUGAGGAGGCAGCUGAGGGACGUGUUCCCGCUGCUUAGUUUGGUCGACAACCUGGUGGGCGUCUGUAAGGGACCUUCAGCCUUAUGGGAAUCAUGUCUGAGAUUAUCGGCCACAACCAGGGUGAGUUCUCCAUCAACCCUGGAAGCAAGACGCAUCCGUGCACCCACUCCCGCUUCAUCCUCCUCAAGUAGCAUGAAAGGAUACUUUGGAUCCUUGGAAGACACAUAUCUUGGUCUCUUCUUUCAUUUGAGUUGAUUCAUCUCCUUUGCUGGCUUCUUUUUCUCUAACCACUACUUACAUCUGUUGCUUUCCAAGUCUUGACCUCAGCUCUUCAUGCAAAUGCCUUCUUGUGUAACCUCAUUCAUUCCUGUAGUGUAAUUAUCAUCAGUAAUACAACCCUUAUGUCUUCAUCUUCAGAACAUGAUGAUUUGGGGAUUAGAUAUCUCUAGCUGAUCUCCCCCCAGACAUCUCAUGAUGAAGAGUUUGGUUCUAAAGUUAGAUAAUCCAGGUUUGAAUCCUUUCGUCACAAUUUACCAGUUGCGUAUUAGUUGAAGAUAUUAUUUAGAAUUAAUUUCUAUGUGUUUUGGUUUCCUUAUCUCUAAAAUGAUAAAAUAAUGGCAUAUACAUCAUAAGGUGGUUUUGAGGCUUAAAUAAAGUACUAUAUAAAAGUGCCUAAGACGAAAUA
This 856-nucleotide long non-coding RNA is filed under the name Felis catus (domestic cat). RNAcentral describes it as "lncRNA (ENSFCAG00000050794.1)". The record is from RNAcentral. Lineage: Eukaryota; Metazoa; Chordata; Mammalia; Carnivora; Felidae.